GAAGUAAAACUCGAGGCUUUUCAAACACCGACCCCAGGGCCCUUCCUCCUUCUUGCCAGGAAAAGUUAAAAGGCUACUAAUUAGCAAAUACCAUUUGGCGUAGCAUUGAGAAGGAUUUGGUUGUCGCCGUAGCCUCCAUAUAUAGUGGUUUUAAGUGUUUUUUCUCAAAAGUGCAUUUGGUCAAAAGCUACAUUUUCUUUAGCAUUUGCUACUCUACAAAAAUAUUUUUUUCUGCAAAAAGCUUAGUCAAACACCUUGGUUUCUAAAAUUGGGGAGGUCAUAAAUUGUCUCUUGCCUUAUCUAUUAUAUAGAACAGUUUAGUGUUCCAAAACCUUGGCCAAAUUAAAGUCAUAGUUUGGCCAAGAUCUACACUGGAGUCUUAAAUGGCAGACAAAAACACUCAACUCUCUUUCUAAUAUAACUAACUCUUGAGGUCCCAACUUAGCAUAAGUUGUAUGUUGUAAAUUGAUCAUCACAAGGCAAGUGAAACUGAAGGUACCAUAGUGCGUCGAUAACAUCCUUGCUAUCAAUUGAAUAUUCUGUUGUUAGCGCUGCAUGCAUCAUGGUUGACAUCUUUGUUCCGCCAGUAAAUCCAGCUAUCUACAUGAGCAUAAUUUGCAGGAAAAAAAAUUAUGUUAGCUUGUGCUGUCAAAACUCAAAAGGGAUAAGUAGUUUCAUGAUUUGAUUCACAUUAUUAGUACAUGGGUUAUGUGUUAAAUAAAUUUUCACAGUAUCCAUCGUCUUCAAAUUUUUGGGUACGCCUGCACUACACCUUAUACAUAGUUUCUUUUUUUCUUGAUAGGAAUGUGAAACCUUAUUGGCACCCGCAACAUGAUUUCGAGUUGUUAAAAUAGACAGUUCGAAUGGUACACACGAUAUUUGGUGAUGAAUUGAAUCAAAUAAAAAUACUAAUACAAACUCACCACGUCGGUGUUAGUUGGUUGCAUUUUCAUUAUUGAUGAAGAAGUUGUUGCUUCUGUACUAACUUGAUCACCAUUUUAGACGUCCCGUGCUUUGUAUUAGGAAGCAACCCUGACAUGCGCAUAUGACCGUUGUUGCAUAUCUGUCACCCAUUCUAACAGGUCAUAUCAAAUUGCGUGGUGAAAGAGACUCUCAUAAGAAAGUUUUGAAAAUUUCUACUACUGCUACAUAUGCAAGAGAGCAAACAACUGAACAAAGGAUCCACAUUGGAAAAAUGGAUUAAGAAUAAUGAGACCGAAACUAACCAAACCAUAAGUGCUAACGGGAUAGCUAAUGAUAGAAAACUGACGUCAUCAACCUUGCCAAUCCAAAAUCCAUUAAUCUAGCACCAAAGUCUGUGAGACCACCAACCAACUCUGAAAGGCAAGAAUAAGCCAUUGUAACAACUGAGAAUGAAAAUUUGGGUAUGCAAAGGGUUGACUGACUAUGAAACUAUAUAUACUGCAAAAAUUAGGGUAUUUAUGAAAGUGCACAAAAAUAAAUUAACAAUGCAAUGAUUCAGAGAUUAAUACAAAUUUUAAGACAUUACAAAUCAGGAAGAUAAAAGGAAUGGAUUAAUAAUGGUAGAAGGUGAAAUGAAAUGAAAAACGUACCUUAAACUUCUGAAAUUGGGAGGGAGAAGGUCAUAAAGUCAGA
RNAcentral lists this long non-coding RNA (1617 nucleotides) under Solanum tuberosum (potato). RNAcentral describes it as "long non-coding RNA (STUB_LNC002394)". Lineage: Eukaryota; Viridiplantae; Streptophyta; Magnoliopsida; Solanales; Solanaceae. The record is from RNAcentral.